UUGGAUUCAGAUCCUGCCGGCUCGCACAUUAGGCAGCCCCGCUGCAGAUGGUGCCGGUCGCCCGCGGCGAUUAAUUUCGUUUGCGGUGUCGUUUCUGGCGUCCACUCGGCGGCGUGCUGACCACCGCAGCGGAGGUUCGCACGUCUCCCCUAGUAGAAACGUCGCGACCCGUUGGGUGCCGGCCGAAGGCCUGUGAAGGAAGCCCGCGUGUCCCGUGGCGGUCGCCACGGGCGUGCGGACUCACGGUGACCCGGCAGGCUGCCCGACGGUAUGACCAGAGGAGCCGAUCCGCUGAAUGGGAAACACUGUGGUUUGUGAAGCGUGCGGCCUGGCGCCGAUGCGUGCGGGGAUUGAGGUGUAAACCGGGGGUGCCCGUGCGAAGCACGGUCCCGGCCCUGCUGCGUCGUUGGUUGCCGGUGUCCUCGCACAGGAUCGAUACUCCCGUCUGCGACGCCCAUCUUCGGAUGGUCUCCCG
Molecule: ribosomal RNA, 475 nt
Filed under: Phyllium chenqiae
Lineage: Eukaryota; Metazoa; Arthropoda; Insecta; Phasmatodea; Phylliidae
Description: partial large subunit ribosomal RNA
Source: RNAcentral